Molecule: ribosomal RNA, 620 nt
Filed under: uncultured bacterium
Lineage: Bacteria
Description: bacterial SSU rRNA
Rfam family: Bacterial small subunit ribosomal RNA
Source: RNAcentral
AGAGUUUGAUCAUGGCUCAGAUUGAACGCUGGCGGCAGGCCUAACACAUGCAAGUCGAACGGUAACAGGAAACAGCUUGCUGUUUCGCUGACGAGUGGCGGACGGGUGAGUAAUGUCUGGGAAACUGCCUGAUGGAGGGGGAUAACUACUGGAAACGGUAGCUAAUACCGCAUAACGUCGCAAGACCAAAGAGGGGGACCUUAGGGCCUCUUGCCAUCGGAUGUGCCCAGAUGGGAUUAGCUAGUAGGUGGGGUAACGGCUCACCUAGGCGACGAUCCCUAGCUGGUCUGAGAGGAUGACCAGCCACACUGGAACUGAGACACGGUCCAGACUCCUACGGGAGGCAGCAGUGGGGAAUAUUGCACAAUGGGCGCAAGCCUGAUGCAGCCAUGCCGCGUGUAUGAAGAAGGCCUUCGGGUUGUAAAGUACUUCCAGCGGGGAGGAAGGGAGUAAAGUUAAUACCUUUGCUCAUUGACGUUACCCGCAUAAGAAGCACCGGCUAUCUCCGUGCCAGCAGCCGCGGUAAUACGGAGGGUGCAAGCGUUAAUCGGAAUUACUGUGGGUAAAGCGUACGCAGGCGGUUUGUUAAGUCAGAUGUGAAAUCCCCCGGGGCUCAACCU